RNAcentral lists this ribosomal RNA (491 nucleotides) under uncultured bacterium. Its description in RNAcentral is "partial 16S ribosomal RNA". It matches the Rfam family "Bacterial small subunit ribosomal RNA", at positions 29 to 507 of the family's 1533-position model. The record is from RNAcentral.
GUGAACGCUGGCGGUAGGCCUAACACAUGCCAGUCGAACGGCAGCACAGUAAGAGCUUGCUCUUACGGGUGGCGAGUGGCGGACGGGUGAGGAAUACAUCGGAAUCUACUUUUUCGUGGGGGAUAACGUAGGGAAACUUACGCUAAUACCGCAUACGACCUACGGGUGAAAGCAGGGGAUCUUCGGACCUUGCGCGAUUGAAUGAGCCGAUGUCGGAUUAGCUAGUUGGCGGGGUAAAGGCCCACCAAGGCGACGAUCCGUAGCUGGUCUGAGAGGAUGAUCAGCCGCACUGGAACUGAGACACGGUCCAGACUCCUACGGGAGGCAGCAGUGGGGAAUAUUGGACAAUGGGCGCAAGCCUGAUCCAGCCAUACCGCGUGGGUGAAGAAGGCCUUCGGGUUGUAAAGCCCUUUUGUUGGGAAAGAAAAGCAGCAGGUUAAUACCCCGCUGUUCUGACGGUACCCAAAGAAUAAGCACCGGCUAACUUCGUG